GGGUCGAUGCCCGAGCGGUUAAUGGGGACGGACUGUAAAUUCGUUGGCAAUAUAAUAUGUCUACGCUGGUUCAAAUCCAGCUCGGCCCA
Molecule: transfer RNA, 89 nt
Filed under: Grias cauliflora
Lineage: Eukaryota; Viridiplantae; Streptophyta; Magnoliopsida; Ericales; Lecythidaceae
Also listed under: 4 other names
Description: tRNA-Tyr
Rfam family: tRNA
About the family: Transfer RNA (tRNA) molecules are approximately 80 nucleotides in length.
Source: RNAcentral